ACUGCAUUGUGGGGCGGAACUUCGGU
RNAcentral lists this non-coding RNA (26 nucleotides) under Cricetulus griseus (Chinese hamster). The record is from RNAcentral. Lineage: Eukaryota; Metazoa; Chordata; Mammalia; Rodentia; Cricetidae.